Molecule: long non-coding RNA, 448 nt
Filed under: Nicotiana benthamiana
Lineage: Eukaryota; Viridiplantae; Streptophyta; Magnoliopsida; Solanales; Solanaceae
Description: long non-coding RNA (NBEN_LNC017792)
Source: RNAcentral
UCACCCAAAAUCAACCAAAAAUCAUCAUAAAAUCUUCCAGAACGUUCAGGAGAAGAAAAUACACUCCGAUAUCACGACGAAAGACUCAGAAAGGUCUCCGAUGAGUCGGAAUCUUCAUCGACCGUGAGGUCUCAGAAAUCACCCCCAAAACCUCGAAACAAACUUCAUCCAAGACAACGAAGCACAUAGAAACAUAGUCGGAUCGUCGUCGAGGCUCUGAUACCAUGAGAAGAAUGGACAUUGGGCCAAACUCAAUCCCAAAAGCUAGCUUAUGAGGUGAGGAUUGCCCAAGCCAUAUAAAGAGACCAAUGAUCUCAAAUCCCUCCGAUGUGGGACAACUCAAUAGCAUGAAAAGAAUGGACAUUGGGCCUAACUCAACCCCAAAAGCUAGCUUAUGAGGUGAGGAUAUCCCAAGCCAUAUAAAGAGACCAAGGACCUCAAAUCCCUC